UAGGCUACUUGCACAAGCACUUCCUGAUUCGCCGUAAUACAGCUCAUCAGCUUCCGGUUCCAAGAUGGCAACGUUCUACACCCGGUGAUUUACAGGAGCUGCCGACAAUAAAUAUCACAGAUGUGCAUCGUUUAUGUCGGGAAACAAAAACUCCGACAAGCAAAUUGGAGAAGAGGUUUAGGCUGUAUGCUUCGACCUACAUUCACAGCUACGAAGAUCAAGCUUUGUGAUUCAUCAGCCAAGGGAUGAAAAAAUAAAGAGUUAAUCUAUGGGCUGGAGCAGCUGUCUCUGAGAGGAAAAGAAAAAAAGUAUAGCUCAAAAACAACAAAUACAAAUGCAAUGGCAUCACGUAUAAUUACAUCUGUAACUACUUA
Long non-coding RNA from Gadus morhua (Atlantic cod), 374 nucleotides. RefSeq lists it as uncharacterized. NCBI's taxonomy places the organism in Eukaryota, Metazoa, Chordata, Actinopteri, Gadiformes, Gadidae. The record is from RefSeq and is a predicted model, not a curated record. The transcript is spliced from 2 exons.